CCUACGGGCGGCAGCAGUGAGGAAUAUUGGUCAAUGGACGAGAGUCUGAACCAGCCAAGUAGCGUGAAGGAUGACUGCCCUAUGGGUUGUAAACUUCUUUUAUAAAGGAAUAAAACGAGGCACGUGUGCCUUUUUGCAUGUACUUUAUGAAUAAGGAUAGGCUAACUCCGUGCCAGCAGCCGCGGUAAUACGGAGGAUCCGAGCUUUAUCCGGAUUUAUUGGGUUUAAAGGGAGCGUAGAGGGGUUGUUAAGUCAGUUGUGAAAGUUUGCGGCUCAACCGUAAAAUUGCCAUUGUUACUGGCAGUCUUUAGUACAGUUGAGGUAGGCGCAAUUCGUGUUGUAGCGGUGACAUGCUUAGAUAUCACG
This 366-nucleotide ribosomal RNA is filed under the name uncultured bacterium. RNAcentral's name for it is "partial 16S ribosomal RNA". It matches the Rfam family "Bacterial small subunit ribosomal RNA", at positions 338 to 701 of the family's 1533-position model. The record is from RNAcentral.